AGAGUUUGAUCCUGGCUCAGGACGAACGCUGGCGGCGUGCUUAACACAUGCAAGUCGAACGGCGCUCAACCAGUGGCAACACUGGGGAAAGUGCAGUGGCGAACGGGUGAGUAACACGUGAGCAACCUGCCUCGAAGACUGGGAUAACAGCGGGAAACCGUUGCUAAUACUGGAUAUCCCCAUUGGGCCGCAUGACCCGAUGAGGAAAUGAAUUUCGCUUCGAGAGGGGCUCGCGGGCUAUCAGCUAGUUGGUGAGGUAACGGCCCACCAAGGCUACGACGGCUAGCUGGUCUGAGAGGACGACCAGCCACACUGGGACUGAGACACGGCCCAGACUCCUACGGGAGGCAGCAGUGGGGAAUCUUGCGCAAUGGGCGAAAGCCUGACGCAGCAACGCCGCGUGCGGGAUGACGGCCUUCGGGUUGUAAACCGCUUUCAGCAGGGACGAAAUUGACGGUACCUGCAGAAGAAGCUCCGGCCAACUACGUGCCAGCAGCCGCGGUAAUACGUAAGGAGCGAGCGUUGUCCGGAUUCAUUGGGCGUAAAGCGCUUUAAGGCGGUUCGCUAAGUCGCGUGUGAAACCUCCAGGCUCAACCUGGAGACGCCACGCGAUACUGGCGUGACUAGAGUUCGGUAGGGGAUCACGGAAUUCCUGGUGUAGCGGUGAAAUGCGCAGAUAUCAGGAGGAACACCGGUGGCGAAGGCGGUGAUCUGGGCCGACACUGACGCUGUAGAGCGAAAGCGUGGGGAGCGAACAGGAUUAGAUACCCUAGUAGUCC
RNAcentral lists this ribosomal RNA (779 nucleotides) under uncultured bacterium. RNAcentral describes it as "bacterial SSU rRNA". It matches the Rfam family "Bacterial small subunit ribosomal RNA", at positions 8 to 796 of the family's 1533-position model. The record is from RNAcentral.